This 740-nucleotide non-coding RNA is filed under the name Japanagallia curvipenis. The record is from RNAcentral. Lineage: Eukaryota; Metazoa; Arthropoda; Insecta; Hemiptera; Cicadellidae.
AAUUAGUUUGAUUCUAGCUAAUUUGUUAGCUUUUAUGAAUAGUUACAUGUAAAAUUAUAUAAAUUUUAAGUUAGUAUCAGUAAUAAGUAUUUAUUAGGUAAAAAAUUUUAUAUAAGAUAUUUUAUAAAAAUAGAUUAAUUUUGUGCCAGCAUUCGCGGUUAUACAAUUUAUUUGUGUUAAUAAUUUAGGUAAAAAAUUAUUUUAGUUGAAUUAGAUUUGUUUAUAUUAAAAUUUAGGUGGAAUUUGUUUUUAAAGAUAUAAUCUGCUACAAAAUUAUUUGUAAACCAUAUUAUUAAACUAGGAUUAGAUACCCUAUUAUUUUUGGCUUAUUUAAACAGGACAUUAGUAGUUAUUUACUAUGAAACUCAAAGAAUUUGGCGGUGAUUUAUAUCUUUUUAGAGGAAUCUGAUCUUUAAUCGAUAAACCACGAUAUGUUUUACCUUUUAAUUAUUUGUAUAUCUCUAUGUAAUAGAAUGUUUUAUAAAGGAUAUUUUCUUUAUUUUCUAAAAAUUAUUUUAGGUCAAGGUGCAGUUUUUAUUACGGAUAGUUUGGGUUACUUUAGUUUUAUUUAUAAAUUAUAUAAUUAUUUAUUUAUAGUAAUAUUAUUAGGAUUUAACAGUAAUUUUAAUUACUUUAUUAAUUUGAAUCUAGUUUUAAGUCAUGUACAUAUCGCCCGUCACUCCUAAUUAUAGGAUAAGUCGUAACAAAGUAAUUUUACCGGAAGGUGAGGUUGGAUAAAU